CCGUGAGGGAAAGGUGAAAAGAACCCCGGGAGGGGAGUGAAAUAGAACCUGAAACCCUGCACUUACAAGCUGUGGAAGCACAUUUCUUGUGUGACCGCGUACUUUUUGUAGAACGGGCCAACGAGUUACGUUAAGUAGCAAGGUUAAGCACUUAAGGUGCGGAGCCGUAGCGAAAGCGAGUUUUAACUGAGCGUUCAGUUACUUGACGUAGACCCGAAACCGGGCGACCUACCCAUGAGCAGGAUGAAGCGAAAGUAAAAUUUCGUGGAGGUCCGACCCCACGAGCGUUGAAA
This 293-nucleotide ribosomal RNA is filed under the name Bacillus anthracis (anthrax bacterium). RNAcentral describes it as "partial 23S ribosomal RNA". It matches the Rfam family "Bacterial large subunit ribosomal RNA", at positions 501 to 794 of the family's 2925-position model. The record is from RNAcentral. Lineage: Bacteria; Bacillati; Bacillota; Bacilli; Caryophanales; Bacillaceae.